GUCUCUUAGGAGAUAUCCGAUAAAAUUGGAAUGAAUAUAGAGAAGAUUAGGAUGAACCCAUGCACAAGGAUGACACGCAUAAAUCGAGAAAUGGUCCAAAAUUUC
Molecule: small nuclear RNA, 105 nt
Filed under: Salix viminalis (osier)
Lineage: Eukaryota; Viridiplantae; Streptophyta; Magnoliopsida; Malpighiales; Salicaceae
Source: RNAcentral